GAUGAAGAACGCAGCGAAAUGCGAUAAGUAAUGUGAAUUGCAGAAUUCAGUGAAUCAUCGAAUGUUUGAACGCGCAUUGCGACCCUUGGUAUUCCGAGGGGCAUGCCUGUUCGAGCGUCAUUAUAACCCCUCAAGCUCAGCUUGGUGUUGGGGCCUGCUGCACUGGCAGCCCUUAAAAUCAGUGGCGGCGCCAUCUGGCUCUAAGCGUAGUAAUUCUUCUCGCUAUGGAGUCCUGGUGGAUGCUUGCCAUCAACCCCCAAUUUUUCUAUGGUUGACCUCGGAUCAGGUAGGGAUACCCGCUGAACUUAAGCAUAUCAAUAAGCGGAGGA
RNAcentral lists this unclassified non-coding RNA (329 nucleotides) under soil metagenome. Its description in RNAcentral is "partial contains 5.8S ribosomal RNA, internal transcribed spacer 2, and large subunit ribosomal RNA". The stretch from base 1 to 120 matches the Rfam family "5.8S ribosomal RNA", at positions 35 to 154 of the family's 154-position model. The record is from RNAcentral.